This is a small nuclear RNA of Vicugna pacos (alpaca), 107 nucleotides long. NCBI's taxonomy places the organism in Eukaryota, Metazoa, Chordata, Mammalia, Artiodactyla, Camelidae. The record is from Ensembl.
GUGCUCACUUCAGCAAGACAUAUACUAAAAUUGGAACAAUACAUAGAAGAUUAGCAUGGCCUUUGCACAAGGAUGACACACAAGUUCGUGAAGCAUUCCAUAUUUUU